GCCAGAGACCGGCGCACGGGUGCGUAACGCGUAUGCAACCUACCUUUCACAGGGGGAUAGCCCAGAGAAAUUUGGAUUAAUACCCCAUGGUAUAUUGAGAUGGCAUCAUCUUAUUAUUAAAGUCACAACGGUGAAAGAUGGGCAUGCGUCCUAUUAGCUAGUUGGUGUGGUAACGGCAUACCAAGGCUACGAUAGGUAGGGGUCCUGAGAGGGAGAUCCCCCACACUGGUACUGAGACACGGACCAGACUCCUACGGGAGGCAGCAGUGAGGAAUAUUGGUCAAUGGGCGCAAGCCUGAACCAGCCAUGCCGCGUGCAGGAUGAAGCAUCUAUGGUGUGUAAACUGCUUUUAUACGGGAAGAAUCCCCGCCUCGUGAGGCGGACUGACGGUACCGUAAGAAUAAGGACCGGCUAACUCCGUGCCAGCAGCCGCGGUAAUACGGAGGGUCCAAGCGUUAUCCGGAAUCAUUGGGUUUAAAGGGUCCGUAGGCGGGCUGAUAAGUCAGUGGUGAAAUCUCCCCGCUCAACGGGGAAACGGCCAUUGAUACUGUUAGCCUUGAAUUAUUAGGAAGUAACUAGAAUAUGUAGUGUAGCGGUGAAAUGCUUAGAUAUUACAUGGAAUACCAAUUGCGAAGGCAGGUUACUACUAAUUGAUUGACGCUGAUGGACGAAAGCGUGGGUAGCGAACAGGAUUAGAUACCCUGGUAGUCCACGCCGUAAACGAUGGAUACUAGCUGUUGGGCGCAAGUUCAGUGGCUAAGCGAAAGUGAUAAGUAUCCCACCUGGGGAGUACGGGCGCAAGCCUGAAACUCAAA
This 815-nucleotide ribosomal RNA is filed under the name uncultured bacterium. RNAcentral's name for it is "bacterial SSU rRNA". It matches the Rfam family "Bacterial small subunit ribosomal RNA", at positions 87 to 905 of the family's 1533-position model. The record is from RNAcentral.